GUGGCAUUCAUGUUGGUGUGGGAUAGUGAUGGAAUGAUGGAUGGUUGUGGUGAUAGUGAUGUUGGCACUGGGAUUGUGAUGGAGUGAUGGAAGUUGUGGUGACAGUGGUGUUGGUGUUGGGAUUGUGAUGGAGUGAUGGAUGGUGGUGGUGACAGUGGUGUUGGUGUUAUUGGGAUAGUGAUGGAGUGAUGGAUGUUGUGGUGACAGUGGUAUUGGUGUUGGGAUAGUGAUGGAGUGAUGGAUGUUGUGGUGACAGUGGUGUUGGUGUUGGGAUAGUGAUGGAGUGAUGGAUGUUGUGGUGACAGUGGUGUUGGUGUUGGGAUUGUGAUGGAGUGAUGGAUGGUGGUGGUGGCAGUGGUGUUGGUGUUGGGAUAGUGAUGGAGUGAUGGAUGGUUGUGCUGACAGUCGUAUUUGUGUUGGGACUUUGAUGGAGUGAUGGAUAGUUGCGGUGGUAGUGAUGUUAAUAUUGGAAUAGUAAUGGAGUGAUGGAUGGUUGUGGUGAUAGUUGUGUUGGUGUUGGGAUAGUGAUUGAGUGAUGGAUGGUGGUGGUGAUAGUGUUGUUGGUUUUGGGAUAGUGAUAAAGUGAAGCAUCUUUUUAGUGACAGUGAUGGUGGUAACAUCAAGGAUGAUGAUGGAAGUAGUGGAGGUUGAAGUGUGGUUUGUUGGUGAAGUUUGUGAUAAAUAUGGUGAUAAAGUUGGAAGAAAUGAUAGAGGUGCU
RNAcentral lists this long non-coding RNA (718 nucleotides) under Pan troglodytes (chimpanzee). RNAcentral describes it as "long non-coding RNA NONPTRT009491". The record is from RNAcentral. Lineage: Eukaryota; Metazoa; Chordata; Mammalia; Primates; Hominidae.